This 26-nucleotide non-coding RNA is filed under the name Mus musculus (house mouse). Lineage: Eukaryota; Metazoa; Chordata; Mammalia; Rodentia; Muridae. The record is from RNAcentral.
UAAUACAUCUAGUUGUUCCUGGACAA